UUUUUGUGUUAUUUCAACAAAUCAAUCAAAUGAUUGCGGAUGUUGACAAGGAUGGAAGUGGUGCCAUUGAUUUCGAUGAAUUUUGUCACAUGAUGACUGCUAAAAUCGGAGAAAGAGACACUAAGGAAGAAUUAAUGAAAGCAUUUCGUAUAAUCGACCAAGAUAAUAAUGAACACUAAUGUCCCUGUCUUCCCUGAAGAAGUAUGUGUCACCUAGUUGGGGGCAGCCAUUUGUAGGAGCUAGCAUUUUGGCAGUUUCAGGGAAUGGAGCUAGCAUUUGGAGAGAGGCUGAACUUGAAUCUUGGGACGACAAACUCAAUAAAGGCCUGGUUGUAUUUCGUGACGAUGGAAGCUCAGAGACGGUGGGGGCAGAAGCAAUGUCAUUAUCAUUCGAGUGACAAAUCGAAGUAGACUGAUCAUAAGACUCUACGAAGGCUUGCUCAGAACCGUGAGGCAGCAAGGAAAAGCCGGUUGAGGAAAAAAGUCUACACUCCGAGGAUUGCGCCUUAUGCGAGGAAUUUGAUGUGGUUCGUGAGCAAUGGGCCAAGUUUUUUACCAGCAAGUAUUUAUUAUUGGCUUUAGCGCGCUUGAUCGAGUUGGUUUAGUUGUUAUAGAAUAAAUUUUAUAUUAAAAUGUAUGUUUAUGUUGAAAUUGGAACAUAUAUUUAAAUGUAAUAUGUGCACUUAAUUUGGUUUUGGGAUAUAUAGUAUACAAAACUCCAGUUGUUGUUUUUA
Molecule: long non-coding RNA, 733 nt
Organism: Spinacia oleracea (spinach)
Lineage: Eukaryota; Viridiplantae; Streptophyta; Magnoliopsida; Caryophyllales; Amaranthaceae
Exons: 4
Source: RefSeq, a predicted model, not a curated record